AGUCCACUCAGAACUUUCCCCUUGGACCCCCUAGAAAGUCCUGCUGUCCUCCACCUGGCCACCCCUCGGCUCUGGGAGACACAUGUCUUCUCGCCCCCACUGACUGGGAAUGUCAGACUCCUGCAGGCCAGCUGGAUGUUUUCCAGGAGCACCAACCAGGAAAUUCUCCAACAGGAUUCCUAUCGUCUAUCUCCACGUGAUAACACUAAAGAGCCUUCACAUCUAUACCGCCCCAGGGCCUCAAGUGCGGAGACUGAGAGCUCUGCAGGACACAGCAUGGAGCCGCCAUUCCUCUACCGUUCCGUGACUGAGUGGAAGAGCAUGUGUACUCUGAACAGGGGAUCCAAACCCUGAGAUGUUCUUUCUCAGCAGUCAGUGCGGCACAGGACUUUCUGUGGGAAUGCUAAGAGAGCAGGGGCCAGAGGGCUUUUAGCCACCACCUCCCAUGGCCAGUCUUCACAAAUUACCUUUGGCUAAUUUGAUGGUCUCUCCUCUUGGGAUCUAAGACUUCAAACAUGUGCAGAAGCAAUUGCAGAAUUGAGACAAGACAUUGUUCCACAGUAUAUUUUUUGUAGCACUGGCUCAGAAAAAGACUCAUUGAAAUCCUGUAUCAAAGCCGUGUGUGAACAUCUUGAGAAAGCAUGAGCUCACUGACUUGACAAGGGAGGAAGCAACCAAGAAUUCUGCCCUUUUUCAGUGCCUGAGUGUGAUAUUUUGCCUCAACAUUCCUCUUAGAUGAAGUUGUUGAUUGAAAAUCAUUUAAGUUUUUGCCCCG
This 775-nucleotide long non-coding RNA is filed under the name Rhinopithecus bieti (black snub-nosed monkey). RNAcentral's name for it is "lncRNA (ENSRBIG00000046304.1)". The record is from RNAcentral. Lineage: Eukaryota; Metazoa; Chordata; Mammalia; Primates; Cercopithecidae.